CCUACGGGCGGCAGCAGUGGGGAAUAUUGGACAAUGGGGGGAACCCUGAUCCAGCCAUGCCGCGUGUGUGAAGAAGGCCCUCGGGUUGUAAAGCACUUUCAGUGAGGAAGAACGCCUGGUGGUUAAUACCCAUCAGGAAAGACAUCACUCACAGAUGAAGCACCGGCUAACUCCGUGCCAGCAGCCGCGGUAAUACGGAGGGUGCGAGCGUUAAUCGGAAUUACUGGGCGUAAAGCGCGCGUAGGUGGCUUGAUAAGCCGGUUGUGAAAGCCCCGGGCUCAACCUGGGAACGGCAUCCGGAACUGUCAAGCUAGAGUGCAGGAGAGGAAGGUAGAAUUCCCGGUGUAGCGGUGAAAUGCGUAGAGAUCGGGAGGAAUACCAGUGGCGAAGGCGGCCUUCUGGACUGACACUGACACUGAGGUGCGAAAGCGUGGGUAGCAAACAGGAUUAGAUACCCUUGUAGUC
This 465-nucleotide ribosomal RNA is filed under the name Vreelandella stevensii. RNAcentral describes it as "partial 16S ribosomal RNA". It matches the Rfam family "Bacterial small subunit ribosomal RNA", at positions 338 to 795 of the family's 1533-position model. Lineage: Bacteria; Pseudomonadati; Pseudomonadota; Gammaproteobacteria; Oceanospirillales; Halomonadaceae. The record is from RNAcentral.